AUUGAACGCUGGCGGCAUGCCUUACACAUGCAAGUCGAACGGCAGCACGGGAGCAAUCCUGGUGGCGAGUGGCGAACGGGUGAGUAAUACAUCGGAACGUGCCCAGUAGUGGGGGAUAACCCGGCGAAAGCCGGACUAAUACCGCAUACGACCUACGGGUGAAAGCAGGGGAUCGCAAGACCUUGCGCUAUUGGAGCGGCCGAUGUCAGAUUAGCUUGUUGGGUGGUAAAAGCCUACCAAGGCAACGAUCUGUAGCUGGUCUGAGAGGACGACCAGCCACACUGGGACUGAGACACGGCCCAGACUCCUACGGGAGGCAGCAGUGGGGAAUUUUGGACAAUGGGCGCAAGCCUGAUCCAGCCAUGCCGCGU
Molecule: ribosomal RNA, 371 nt
Filed under: uncultured bacterium
Lineage: Bacteria
Description: bacterial SSU rRNA
Rfam family: Bacterial small subunit ribosomal RNA
Source: RNAcentral